This is a non-coding RNA of Brachypodium distachyon (stiff brome), 80 nucleotides long. NCBI's taxonomy places the organism in Eukaryota, Viridiplantae, Streptophyta, Magnoliopsida, Poales, Poaceae. The record is from RefSeq and is marked provisional.
AUGAUGGCCGUGUAGAAUGGGUGAUGGGAGAAGGCGCCUCGAUGCUUUCUUCUGUGAGCCUGACUGAGCGAGAGAGAUGC